RNAcentral lists this ribosomal RNA (600 nucleotides) under uncultured bacterium. RNAcentral's name for it is "bacterial SSU rRNA". It matches the Rfam family "Bacterial small subunit ribosomal RNA", at positions 732 to 1336 of the family's 1533-position model. The record is from RNAcentral.
GUCCUUAACUGACGCUAAAGCUCGAAGGUGCGGGUAUCGAACAGGAUUAGAUACCCUGGUAGUCCGCACGGUAAACGAUGGAUGCCCGCUGUUGGCGAUAUAUUGUCAGCGGCCAAGCGAAAGCGUUAAGCAUCCCACCUGGGGAGUACGCCGGCAACGGUGAAACUCAAAGGAAUUGACGGGGGCCCGCACAAGCGGAGGAACAUGUGGUUUAAUUCGAUGAUACGCGAGGAACCUUACCCGGGCUUGAAUUGCAGAUGACGGAUCUAGAGAUAGUGACUUCCUUCGGGACAUCUGUGAAGGUGCUGCAUGGUUGUCGUCAGCUCGUGCCGUGAGGUGUCGGCUUAAGUGCCAUAACGAGCGCAACCCUUCUCUUCAGUUGCCAUCAGGUUAAGCUGGGCACUCUGGAGACACUGCCACCGUAAGGUGUGAGGAAGGUGGGGAUGACGUCAAAUCAGCACGGCCCUUACGUCCGGGGCUACACACGUGUUACAAUGGCCGGUACAGAAAGUCGGAUGCCCGUAAGGUCAUUCUAAUCAAGAAAGCCGGUCCCAGUUCGGACUGAGGUCUGCAACCCGACCCCACGAAGCUGGAUUCGCU